Molecule: ribosomal RNA, 652 nt
Filed under: uncultured marine archaeon
Lineage: Archaea
Description: bacterial SSU rRNA
Rfam family: Archaeal small subunit ribosomal RNA
Source: RNAcentral
CUGACUGCUAUCGGAUUGAUACUAAGCCAUGCGAGUCAUUGUAGUAAUACAAGGCAGACGGCUCAGUAACGCGUAGUCAACCUACCCUAUGGACGGGAAUAACCUCGGGAAACUGAGUAUAAUGCCCGAUAGAACACUAUUCCUGGAAUGGUUUGUGUUCCAAAUGAUUUAUCGCCGUAGGAUGGGACUGCGGCCUAUCAGUUUGUUGGUGAGGUAAUGGCCCACCAAGACUAUUACAGGUACGGGCUCUGAGAGGAGUAGCCCGGAGAUGGGUACUGAGACACGGACCCAGGCCCUAUGGGGCGCAGCAGGCGAGAAAACUUUGCAAUGUGCGAAAGCACGACAAGGUUAAUCCGAGUGGUUUGUGCUAAACGAACCUUUUGACAGUCCUAGAAACACUGUUGAAUAAAGGGUGGGCAAGUUCUGGUGUCAGCCGCCGCGGUAAAACCAGCACCUCAAGUGGUCAGGAUGAUUAUUGGGCCUAAAGCAUCCGUAGCCGGCUCUGUAAGUUUUCGGUUAAAUCUGUACGCUCAACGUACAGGCUGCCGGGAAUACUGCAGAGCUAGGGAGUGGGAGAGGUAGACGGUACUCGGUGGGAAGGGGUAAAAUCCUUUGAUCUAUUGAUGACCACCUGUGGCGAAGGCGGUCUACC